AGUGGCGCACGGGUGCGUAACGCGUAUGCAACCUACCCUUUACUGGGGGAUAGCCCGGAGAAAUUCGGAUUAAUACCCCAUGGUAUCACAGAUUGGCAUCAUGAAGUGAUUAAAGAUUUAUUGGUAAAGGAUGGGCAUGCGUGACAUUAGAUAGUUGGUGAGGUAAUGGCUCACCAAGUCCACGAUGUCUAGGGGUUCUGAGAGGAUGAUCCCCCACACUGGUACUGAGAUACGGACCAGACUCCUACGGGAGGCAGCAGCGGGGA
Molecule: ribosomal RNA, 266 nt
Filed under: Oxyrrhis marina
Lineage: Eukaryota; Dinophyceae; Oxyrrhinales; Oxyrrhinaceae
Description: partial Bacterial small subunit ribosomal RNA
Rfam family: Bacterial small subunit ribosomal RNA
Source: RNAcentral